AUAUAAUAAUAUCUAUGGUUAAUUUUGAGGUUUUAUAUUUGGCUUAAACUAAUUUUUAAAGGGUAAACAAAGAAGCCUAAUAAUUUUCUGUUUAGGCCCAUACAUAAUAUAUAUAUUUUUUUUAAUUAAGUAAUAAUAAAGUUACUCAUUUUAUCCAAAGAAUUCGUAAAAAUUCAAUUUAAUAUCGGUAUCGGUAUUGGCGAUAUUGGCCUAAAAGUACUUGGUAUCGCAUCGAAAAUAAAGUAAGUGUUAUCGCCCAUCUCUAGAACGGAGUUUGAUCGGAGUGCGAUUAAAGGGACUUGAGUUAGUGCACAUAGACUGAAGUAGCAGAGUACCGAUCAAAUCGUUCCAUUUUGAAGCACUGGCAGCAACUGUCUUUGCUAGUGCAGCAAGGCAAACUCUGUUAAUCGAUUUUAAAAAUGCAUAAAGGAUACACACUUUCUGGCCUUAUUUAAUCAGAAGUUGGACAUUAUUAAUAGCGAAUACUAGAGUUUUAUUCCUACGAAGCUUAUGAUUAGCUUUGUUGGUUUUAUUUCCAACAUAUCGGUAAACUAGCACGAUUUAGCCAGUUCACGUUAGCUUCUGCUAGCUGGCUGAACUGAUGAGUCCACAGCUACCAGGCUUAAUAAACGUCUUCAAAUGAGUUGUUGACAAAUCUGAUUAUACUCGGGCUGCAUUUUGAAUGGGCUGAUUAAGUUUAUUUGCCAUUCAGGAAAGCAUCGAUUACAGGGUACACACUGGACAAUACUGAGAACACGUAUUUCGUGGUUAAUUUUCUUUGGUUAAUUUUUGAUGGAGAACAUACCCCUGCAAGGGAUGUUACUUUUUUUUUUUUUUAAUCGCUCAUUUGUCGUUUCGUGGCCUAUCGGUCCUCUGAUACCACUAGAAAUCUAAAGACUCCCGUUGUAUACAGUAUUUAGUCGGAUUAUCCUCAUGGAUCUGAAUUUUUACUCGGAUCUCUCUGAUGGGACUGGUCAGCAUGGUGAUUCCGAGUUCAUGGACAGCUCGUCUUACAGUACACAUGAAUCUGUGAACAAGUUUGCAGGUGGCAAUGAUUCAUACCUGACGAUCAGUGGGCCUGGUCAUCAUUUUCUUUCAUCUGAGCAAACAUUCCAUACCCCUAGUCUGGGUGACGAAGAGUUUGAAAUCCCACCCAUCUCCUUGGAUCCAGAUUCAGCCCUCACCAUAGAAGAUGUGGAGGCCCAUUUCGGAGAGAUGGCCGAACAGGCUGGGAGCUCAAAGUCACCUGGAGUUGGAAACAGUCUUGCAAGUAAUGUUGUGAUGGGGGGAAAUGAUCCCUCUUUUGCGUCCACUUUCAUAAAUCCAUCAUCUCAGGGCAUUGAGCACCUGAGUUUGGGUGUGAUUAACCAACCGGGGGGAAGUGCGCUGUUGAGCUCAACUCUGGGUGUGGAUCUUGGCCAUUCUGUUGGCUCUCAUUUCAAUAGUUCCUCUUCCAUAACUAUUGAUGUUCCACUAAAUGACAUGAACCACAGUCUUUUAGGACACAACCAACUCACCACAAUAGACCAUUCAGAUCUAGGUGCUCAAUUAGGGCUCAGCCUUGUUGGUGGAUCCAGUGUGUCAGAGUCACCUGAACAACCUCUGUCUGCCACGCCAUCCCCUGCUAGCUCAUUGCAAGAUGAAGACAUGGAAGACUUCAGACAAAAAACUAUGCUGGUAGACUCUUUCUCAGCCUCUCCUGCGAACAUAUCGCACAUCCCCAAUUUGACGGGAUCCAUGCAGCUCUCCUCCACUCUUCCAGUUGUGGUGAAGAGGGUGGGUGGUAAGCCAACCAUGGUGGCUGGGUCCGCAUCAGACAUGGGGGUGACGAUUGGAGCCAAGAAAGGGAAGAAGAAAAAAGAUCCCAAUGAACCACAGAAACCAGUGUCAGCCUAUGCUCUGUUCUUCAGAGAUACCCAGGCAGCCAUUAAAGGCCAGAACCCCAAUGCCACUUUUGGAGAGGUGUCGAAGAUAGUGGCCUCCAUGUGGGACAGCCUUGGGGAAGAGCAGAAACAGGUUUACAAGAGGAAAACGGAGGCUGCUAAGAAAGAGUAUCUGAAAGCAUUGGCGGUCUACAGAGCAAAUCAGCUCUCAAAACCUUCUCCUGAGGUGGAGGAUACUGCUCCUUCCACUCCUCCAUCUGCCCCCUGUACUGCUCCGGCUGCCCCUGCCCACCCUGCACGGCUUAUCCCCAACCCUGAUGAGAACACUAUUACCAACAUCUGUGCAUCCAAUAUUAUCCUCGACCUGCCUCAAGUCACUACCCGUUCCCGCACAGGGUCUUUACCUGUGGCCAUUAGCCAACCUCCAACCCCUAACCCCAGCCCAGCACCCACCUUCACUAAAAUCAUCAUCUCCAAACAAAUGCUGGAGGGAGGUGCUCAGCUCCAUCAGAUCCCUACUUCCAUGGUGACCGUGAUUCCAGCUGGAAUCCGAGCUGUACAGUCGUCUGUUGGUGCUGCAGCUUCUACUGGACGACAGCCUCCACCGCUGCUGCAGAUGCAGGGCACCCCUCCACCCCCACGUCUGCAGCAGAUGGUACAAACUCAAGCCCCGCCCCCUCUUCAGGCCAAGCCCCGUGGAGGGCCAGGAAGUUCCACAGCUGUCACGGACACGCCUCCCCCGCCUCUCCAGAUAAAGAUUGUGCCCGCUUCUUUACACUCUGACUUGUCCACACCGAUUAUUGUUACUACAGCAAUAAGUGCCAACCCUGUUAUAUCCCCAUCCACCAUCUCUGCCCCUGUUGAGGUGCAGGUGGAACAACCCAGUGAGCAAUUCGUCACAGGAGAGAAUGAGGCUGUGAUGGAGAAGCUUGCCUCAGAAGAGAUGGAGGUAAGCGUCACUCCUUCGGUCACCUCUUCUGCUCUCUGUGUCCGUGCUGGAUGCACAAACCUGGCUGUGGAGAGUCGAGACUGGGAUAAGGAAUAUUGCAGCAAUGAGUGUGUUGCCACACACUGCAGGGAUAUUUUCAUGGCCUGGUGUUCAAUCAAGAGUCAGAACUCAGCUACUGUCAAAUAAUGAAAUCCUCCUAGUUCUGGGUUUUUACAUGCCUGGAUGUGUUUUAAUUAGUUAAAGGGACAGGUCACAAAAAAAAUUAAUUCAGUAAUCAUUUUUUUCCCAAACCUGCUUGACUUGACAUUCUUCCAUGGAACACAAAAGAAGAUGUAGCAAAAUGUAAGACUCUGUCACCACUGACACCAUUGGACAACAUGAUGCAGAAGAAAGCCAUACACAUCUGGGAUGGUAUGAGGUUGCCAAGCUCAACUGCAUGUGGGGGCCAGCUGUUGUUAUACAGACAUCUGUAACCACUUGGACCCACCAUAAAAGCAGAGGAUAAGUAUGGUGAACAGCAGUGCUCCUAUAAUACUAGUUUGGUAAAGACCAGCACUAGAUUUGUACAUCAGCGACAUUUGUUCCAUCCUCCCCACCUGAAACCAAACAAGUGACAAUAAACUGGCAUUGGGGAACUUUUACUAUGAUUAUGUUUUACUAUUAUUCAUUUUAUUGUUUGCUCUAUAUUACAUACACUAUUCCUUGUCUAUGUAUGUAGUAUGUCUCAAUCUAUCAUUCUUAAUCAGUGCAGUAUACAGUAAUCUUGUGGUGCCAACAGGUUUAGCAGGUUUUUUCAGUACUGUUCAACACACAGACUCACUAUGUUUUCAAUAUCCCCUGUCAGCUGCCUGACGGUGUCCACUGAGUGUUGAAGAUUUCUCUUCAUUUCUUCGAACUGCUUGUCCGUGCUUUUCUGAAAUGUAUUGUCAAUUUUGCUGUUAUCAUUUGAGUCGUUGAUAUCUGGCUUUUCAAUAGAGUAAAAUUACAAAAUGUAAAGUUAGUUGUUUCAGGAAUAUGCUUAUGUAUGUGAGAGCUAUGUCUAUAUGAUGAAUCUUGUUACCUUGUUAAAACAACAAAACAUAAAUGUACCUUUAGUUUGUUCUCCAGAUUCUCAGACCAUUUAACUAUUUUAAUGCACUGCUCUUUCUCCAUAUUACACACAUGA
This is an RNA transcript of Myxocyprinus asiaticus (Chinese sucker), 3997 nucleotides long. It is a transcript of the gene named TOX high mobility group box family member 4-like, with no coding region annotated. The record is from RefSeq and is a predicted model, not a curated record. Lineage: Eukaryota; Metazoa; Chordata; Actinopteri; Cypriniformes; Catostomidae. The transcript has 11 exons.